UACGUAGGGUGCAAGCGUUGUCCGGAAUUAUUGGGCGUAAAGAGCUCGUAGGCGGUUUGUCGCGUCUGCUGUGAAAUCCCGAGGCUCAACCUCGGGUCUGCAGUGGGUACGGGCAGACUAGAGUGCGGUAGGGGAGAUUGGAACUCCUGGUGUAGCGGUGGAAUGCGCAGAUAUCAGGAAGAACACCGAUGGCGAAGGCGGUUCUCUGGGCCUUACCUGACACUGAGGAGCGAAAGCGUGGGGAGCGAACAGG
This 253-nucleotide ribosomal RNA is filed under the name uncultured bacterium. RNAcentral's name for it is "partial 16S ribosomal RNA". It matches the Rfam family "Bacterial small subunit ribosomal RNA", at positions 524 to 776 of the family's 1533-position model. The record is from RNAcentral.